RNAcentral lists this ribosomal RNA (442 nucleotides) under uncultured bacterium. Its description in RNAcentral is "partial 16S ribosomal RNA". It matches the Rfam family "Bacterial small subunit ribosomal RNA", at positions 338 to 795 of the family's 1533-position model. The record is from RNAcentral.
CCUACGGGGAGCAGCAGUAGGGAAUCUUUCACAAUGGGCGAAAGCCUGAUGGAGCAACGCCGCGUGCAGGAUGAAGGCCUUCGGGUUGUAAACUGCUUUUAUAAGCGAGAAAUAUGAUGGUAACUUAUGAAUAAGGAUCGGCUAACUACGUGCCAGCAGCCGCGGUCAUACGUAGGAUCCGAGCAUUAUCCGGAGUGACUGGGUGUAAAGAGUUGCGUAGGUGGCAUAAUAAGUAGCUAGUGAAAUCUGGUGGCUCAACCAUUCAGACUAUUAGCUAAACUGUUAAGCUCGAGACCGUUAGGGGUAACUGGAAUGUCUAGUGUAGGAGUGAAAUCCGUAGAUAUUAGAAGGAACACCAAUAGCGUAGGCAGGUUGCUGGGACGGUUCUGACACUAAGGCACGAAAGCGUAGGGAGCAAACGGGAUUAGAUACCCCUGUAGUC